CGUCCUCGAGGAUGUCGACUGGUCUUCCUUUUGAAAAAGUCAGCAUAAAACAGAGCGUGAGAUUUGAGAUGAGGUGUUUAACUCGACUUUGUUUUAUAGUUUAUAUUGUUGAUGUUUCUUUUAUUGCCACACAUCUUUUAUUUUGAAUCCUUGAGGAGAUAUAAAAACAGACACAAAGGAGACAACCGUGCCAGCUGUGUGUUCGUCUGCGGUCUCCGAAGGCCACGGUGUUGACACGUCUGUCCGACCCUGACUCAUAGGCAACUUAAACAAUGCAACAAGCAACUCCGAUAUGAACAUUUCUGGCACAGUCAAGGUGGAAGGGAGGAGGGCGAACACAAAGGAGGAAAAAAAGAGCGGCAGGCGACCAGAGGACGGGCCGGAAACUUGGGAUUUUCCAGCAAGAGAAUGCGGAGGGCAGAUUUGGCUGGGAUUUUUUUAGCUGACGCCAAGAGAAGCAAUAGCCAGUGAGUGACAAAAUCAUUGCUUAGGUUGACCCGACCGCAUCAGCAGAAUGAUGGGCGUCUCUAGAGUGAGUGUUUGGGUUUUAGUGGAUGUGGGGUGUUGGGGGGAGUGACUUUUGCCCAUGAAACAUGAGUGUGGAGCCGUGAUUGACCGAAGUCCUCCCCGUCGACUCCCUUUAUCUUGGAGCUGAAUGUUUGAGAAACCGCGAGACACACAGAGAAAGAUAGUCAUACUGCUUUGAAAUGAUAAAUGAUGACAACUAUCACUUCAAGCAGUUCAAGCUUAUUUUUCUAAGUUACAUCAACAGCUUGACAACAUUUACAGGGAAAAAUCAGAGAAACAAGAGACUUCGCAACAGUAUCCUUUUUUCUGUCAAUCUUUUAUUGUGUAGCCAAGGAAUCCUACAAUCAAGACA
Molecule: long non-coding RNA, 880 nt
Organism: Triplophysa dalaica
Lineage: Eukaryota; Metazoa; Chordata; Actinopteri; Cypriniformes; Nemacheilidae
Exons: 4
Source: RefSeq, a predicted model, not a curated record